This 72-nucleotide transfer RNA is filed under the name Camelus bactrianus (Bactrian camel). It matches the Rfam family "tRNA". Rfam says of the family: Transfer RNA (tRNA) molecules are approximately 80 nucleotides in length. Their secondary structure includes four short double-helical elements and three loops (D, anti-codon, and T loops). The record is from Rfam by way of RNAcentral. RNAcentral also lists the same sequence under 2 other names. Lineage: Eukaryota; Metazoa; Chordata; Mammalia; Artiodactyla; Camelidae.
UGGGGUGUAGCUCAGUGGUAGAGCAUGUGCAUAGCAUGCAUGAAGUUCUGGGUUCAAUCCUCAGUACCUCCA